This 465-nucleotide ribosomal RNA is filed under the name uncultured bacterium. Its description in RNAcentral is "partial 16S ribosomal RNA". It matches the Rfam family "Bacterial small subunit ribosomal RNA", at positions 28 to 507 of the family's 1533-position model. The record is from RNAcentral.
GACGAACGCUGGCGGCGUGCUUAACAUAUGCAAGUCGAACGGAAAGGCCCUGCUUGCCGGGUACUCGAGUGGCGAACGGGUGAGUAACACGUGGGUGAUCUGCCCUGCACUUCGGGAUAAGCCUGGGAAACUGGGUCUAAUACCGGAUAGGAGCCAUUUUUAGUGUGAUGGUUGGAAAGUUUUUUCGGUGUAGGAUGAGCUCGCGGCCUAUCAGCUUGUUGGUGGGGUAAUGGCCUACCAAGGCGGCGACGGGUAGCCGGCCUGAGAGGGUGGACGGCCACAUUGGGACUGAGAUACGGCCCAGACUCCUACGGGAGGCAGCAGUGGGGAAUAUUGCACAAUGGGCGCAAGCCUGAUGCAGCGACGCCGCGUGGGGGAUGACGGCCUUCGGGUUGUAAACUCCUUUCGCUAGGGACGAAGCUUUUUGUGACGGUACCUAGAUAAGAAGCACCGGCUAACUACGUG